UACGAACUGUGCGAACGUUAUUCGGAAUCACUGGGCUUACAGGGUGCGUAGGCGGCUAAUCAGGUCAGGUGUGAAAGCCCUCGGCUCAACCGAGGAACUGCGCUUGAAACCGGAUGGCUCGAGUCAACUAGAGGUGCACGGAACUUCCAGUGGAGCGGUGAAAUGUGUUGAUAUUGGAAGGAACACCGGAGGCGAAAGCGGUGCACUGGGGUUGGUCUGACGCUGAGGCACGAAAGCCAGGGGAGCGAACGGG
This 253-nucleotide ribosomal RNA is filed under the name uncultured bacterium. Its description in RNAcentral is "partial 16S ribosomal RNA". It matches the Rfam family "Bacterial small subunit ribosomal RNA", at positions 524 to 776 of the family's 1533-position model. The record is from RNAcentral.